This 436-nucleotide ribosomal RNA is filed under the name uncultured bacterium. Its description in RNAcentral is "bacterial SSU rRNA". It matches the Rfam family "Bacterial small subunit ribosomal RNA", at positions 954 to 1392 of the family's 1533-position model. The record is from RNAcentral.
AUGGGAACGCGAAGAACCUUACCUAGACUUGACAUCUCCUGAAUAGUGUAGAGAUACAUGAAGCCCUUCGGGGCAGGAAGACAGGUGGUGCAUGGUUGUCGUCAGCUCGUGUCGUGAGAUGUUGGGUUAAGUCCCGCAACGAGCGCAACCCUUAUUACUAGUUGCUACCAUUAAGUUGAGCACUCUAGUGAGACUGCCCGGGUUAACCGGGAGGAAGGCAGGGAUGACGUCAAAUCAUCAUGCCCCUUAUGUCUAGGGCAACACACGUGCUACAAUGGUGAGUACAGAUAGAUGCGAUACCGCAAGGUGGAGCCAAACUCUAAAACUCAUCCCAGUUCGGAUUGUAGGCUGCAACUCGCCUACAUGAAGUUGGAGUUGCUAGUAAUCGCGAAUCAGAAUGUCGCGGUGAAUACGUUCCCGGGUCUUGUACACACCG